AACAAGUCAAAAAAUGAGGGAUUAAUCUGAAAUAAAGUAGGUACUGAAUUUGAAAUCUGAAAAUAUGACUUGCACCUCAUCUUUGCCUAUAAAAGGGAAUUUCCAUGCCAUAACACACAAGUUUGGCAGCCCAAAAACUCCCUCAAAAGUGUGCUCUCCAGUUUCAGAUUUAAGAUCUGAAAUCCAAACUUCAAAAUUCCAAAAACAAUAGAAAACCUCCAAAAAACUUAAGAAAAACGAGUAAAAUACUGUUCCAUUGAAGUUUCUCAAUUAGUUUCUGCAUUUCAGCUUUCAAAUCAACCUGUUAGCUUAGUUAGGAUCAAAAUUACUUGAAUUUUCUCUGGUUUCUGUUCAAUUUGGAGAAAUAGAGGUAGUUUGAGUCAGCUAUUAAUUAUAUACUAAUUGUUAUGAAGUGCUGGGUUCCUUUUGGAUUAUCUAAAGCUGUUUUGGUUUGACAUGUUGAAUCUGUUUGGUUUCCAACUCAUCCUGGGUUGUGCACUUGUUUCUGGGCUAUUUGUUUGUUAAUAUGCUUUGCUAUUGCUGCUGGAACUUCCUACUUACUAUUUUUGAUGUAUUACAGGUACAAACUUUGAACCUAUUGAGAUGUACAUAUUGAUUUAAAGAAGGAAUGAAAGGUAGUACUAAAAUCCUGGUAAUGUUUUGGUUGUGCUUGGCUAUGUUUCCUUCAUGAUGCUUAUGUACUGGUUUCUGUUCAAUUUGGAGAAUAGAGGCAGUUCGAGUCAACUAUUAGUUAUAUACUGAUCAUGAAUGAAGGAUUGGGCUCAUUUUGAAUGACUUGACGAUGUUUUGGUUUGUUUAGUUGAUUGUAAUGCUUUCCUGUUUGCAUUUCUAGGCCUGUUGGUGCUGUUUUGGGGAUUGAUAUGUAGUCUCUUUGGUUUAAAUCAUUUCUGGAGUCAUCAAGUUAUUUCUGGGCUAUGAUUGACUGUUUUGCUGCUGUUUGAAAUUCCAAAUCGCGGAUUGCUCUGCUAUUGCUAACCUCUUCCCCUUUCUACUUGAUUCUCUUCAGGUACACUACUUUGAGUUGCCUUGAUGUAUGCUCAUUGAAAUUGAAAUAAAAAUAUUUGAAGAUCUAUGUUCAGUUGGAGGCUUCCUGUUGUUGCUUUUUACUUGAUGUUAAUUAGUUGUUUUAUGAUUUUAACGACAGAUCUGUGUAUAAUUAGGACCAUUUCUGAAGUAGCUGGGACUCUAUAAGUAAAAGGACUAUUAAAUUGAAUUGUUUUUCUAAUAUUCUGAAAUCAGGAAUAUAGACUGUUAGACUAGUUAUAAUGGUUAUUCGCCAUUGGUCUUAGUAGCUUGGUUUUGGUUCUGUGCAAAUUAAUUGGUAAAAUCAGAAGGACAGCUGAAGUAGGAAUUGGUUUAUAGAUUUGUAACCACGCUUAUUAAUAGUUAAAAGGAGUGAAAUGUCUUGGACGAUACAACCUUCCAUUUCUACAUUCUUAAAUUGUCUGAGUAUGAACGCAAUGACAUUACUUAAUCAUUCUAGGAUGGUCGUUUAAGCCUCAUCAAUUGGUAGACUGUUAGCUUCUUAGAUUAAUAAUUGUCUGGAAUUAAAAUUCGUUUGGUUUGUGCUUGCUCCUCCUGGGACUCGACCACCCAGCUGGCUCCAUGUGGCCUAAUAGGGUUCACCUGCUUUGGGCCAAAAGCAGGUCCAGUAUAUAUAGUUAACGCGAAUUGGGUUUUUCACAAGCUUGGUUCAUUGGAGCAACAAUCAUAAAAUAAAUUCAUAAGGAUUGGGCCAUUUCAAAUGGAAUAAUUGUUUAGGAUUUCCUUUUAUUACUAUAGACAAAAAUAAGAUAGAAAAUCAUAGUUGCUUUUAGGUUGGAAUUUAAAUAAUAAAUGAGACGAGCCUCGCUCAAUAAAAAUGCAAAAUUGUGGGGCCCUCAAUAAUUGGUUAUUAAAAAUGAUUAGAAUUUGGAAGGGUCAUUUAGCGAAUUUCAACGGCCUUUCCCAGAACA
RNAcentral lists this long non-coding RNA (1976 nucleotides) under Nicotiana benthamiana. RNAcentral describes it as "long non-coding RNA (NBEN_LNC038186)". Lineage: Eukaryota; Viridiplantae; Streptophyta; Magnoliopsida; Solanales; Solanaceae. The record is from RNAcentral.